GGCUCAGUAACACGUCGAUAAUCUGCCCUAAGAUUGAGGAUACCCACGGAAAACUGUGGUUAAUACUUGAUGUUGAAUGGAUUCUGGAAUGAGCCAUUCAUUAAACGUAAGGUCUUAGGAUGAGUCGGCGGCAGAUUAGGCAGUUGGCGGUGUAACGGACCACCAAACCAAAGAUCUGUAGGGGCCCUGAGAGGGGUAGCCCCGAGAGGGACACUGAAAUACUGGUCCCAGCUCCACGGAGUGCAGCAGGCGCGAAACCUCCACAAUGCGCGAAAGCGUGAUGGGGGGAUCCCGAGUGCUUACACUUUAGGUGUAAGCUUUUGCCAAGAGUUCACAUCUUGGGGAAUAAGUGGUGGGUAAGACCGGUGCCAGCAGCCGCGGUAACCCCGGCGCCACGAGUGGCAAUCUUAUAUUGGGCCUAAAGCAUUCGUAGCCGGAUUAAAAAAUCUCUUGUGAAAUUGUCGAACUCAAUACGACAGCGUGCAGGAGACACUUUUAGUCUAGAGAUUGGGAGGAGUUGGGGGUAUGCCUUGGGGAGCGGUUAAAUGUGAUAAUCCAAGGUAGACCACCUGUGGCGAAGGCGCCCAACUAGAACAAUUCUGACGGUGAGGGAUGAAAGCUAGGGGAGCGAUCCGGAUUAGAUACCCGAGUAGUCCUAGCUGUAAACACUGCGAGCUAGGUGUCGCAUAUUCUACGAGA
This 699-nucleotide ribosomal RNA is filed under the name uncultured archaeon. RNAcentral's name for it is "bacterial SSU rRNA". It matches the Rfam family "Archaeal small subunit ribosomal RNA", at positions 87 to 790 of the family's 1478-position model. The record is from RNAcentral.